CCUACGGGAGGCAGCAGUGGGGAAUUUUGGACAAUGGGCGCAAGCCUGAUCCAGCAAUGCCGCGUGAGUGAAGAAGGCCUUCGGGUUGUAAAGCUCUUUUGUCAGGGAAGAAACGGGUGGAGCUAAUAUCUCUGCCUAAUGACGGUACCUGAAGAAUAAGCACCGGCUAACUACGUGCCAGCAGCCGCGGUAAUACGUAGGGUGCAAGCGUUAAUCGGAAUUACUGGGCGUAAAGCGUGCGCAGGCGGUUUUGUAAGUCUGUCGUGAAAUCCCCGGGCUCAACCUGGGAAUUGCGAUGGAGACUGCAAGGCUAGAAUCUGGCAGAGGGGGGUAGAAUUCCACGUGUAGCAGUGAAAUGCGUAGAGAUGUGGAGGAACACCGAUGGCGAAGGCAGCCCCCUGGGUCAAGAUUGACGCUCAUGCACGAAAGCGUGGGGAGCAAACAGGAUUAGAUACCCUGGUAGUCCACGCCCUAAACGAUGUCUACUAGUUGUCGGGUCUUAAUUGACUUGGUAACGCAGCUAACGCGUGAAGUAGACCGCCUGGGGAGUACGGUCGCAAGAUUAAAACUCAAAAUGAAUUGACGGNUGAGAGAGCGAGAGACGACGAGGGAGGAGG
Molecule: ribosomal RNA, 617 nt
Filed under: uncultured bacterium
Lineage: Bacteria
Description: bacterial SSU rRNA
Rfam family: Bacterial small subunit ribosomal RNA
Source: RNAcentral